Long non-coding RNA from Xyrauchen texanus (razorback sucker), 937 nucleotides. RefSeq lists it as uncharacterized. Lineage: Eukaryota; Metazoa; Chordata; Actinopteri; Cypriniformes; Catostomidae. The transcript is spliced from 7 exons. The record is from RefSeq and is a predicted model, not a curated record.
UUUGGCACGUCUUUUUACAAAGCAUUGAAAAAUGGCCGCACAGCUUUUCAGCCUGCACCGCUGGUGAACCCAUCGUUUCCUCAUUCUAAAUUGAAGGAGUGAGGUGUCCUUCCCUGUUAGGAGAUAAACCACCUAAACAAGAUGCAGUGAUUGGGAGAUGGACCUUCCCAUUGCCUUGGGGUGUGUUCCAGAAAAAGGUCCUAAGCCUACUGGUCGACAUCCGCCAUCGCCUGAAGGAAACACAGCCUGCCUCUUCAGCUGUCCAUAUAGAGAGGAUUGACACCAUGGAGGACUUUGAGUUGCAGGAGCAACACCUCUCUGAUGCACAGGCCUUUGAUACCCUGACUAACCUCGCCUCAUAACGAGGCCGUGACCUCAUAUUUGCUCGGAGCUAUGUCUGCAAGUCCAGAUUUACAUGAUGCUGAUAAUGACGACAUUGUGUCUGCCUGUAAAACAUAUUAUGAGACCGUGCGCAGGAGCUUCAGGUACAAACAACCAGAUCUUGCAUCGCAGGCGGAAGCUGUGAAGAGUUCAGCUCGGAGUCGAGCGAGAAGAGGCUGCUAGAAGCGAGACAGAGUGUGCUGGCUGAGGAUGAGGUGGGCCUUUGGAAGUGCGCUACCAUAGACCUAAUGUCGGAUGAGGAAGACUGCAUCGUUGGCGGGGUGUCUGGAUGGAUUGUGCGACCUCCGUCUUUUCGCAGCCAGGAGCUCACAGAACUCUGUGCCACACUGCAGUCUAGAUUAGAGGCGAUGCCAAAAAACAGGGCAACGCACCACAGACGUCUGCAAAAUGGACCAAAUUCGGACAGAAUUACCUACAGCUCCGAAGCUGAAAACAGACACUUCAUGGUGCUGUAGGAUUUUGGGCUUCUCGUGAGCUUCCAAUUUGUUGUGUGUGCAGAUCUCAUAUGUUUGUAUAGUUUGUGUGUUUGUGCAAA